RNAcentral lists this long non-coding RNA (1462 nucleotides) under Pongo abelii (Sumatran orangutan). RNAcentral describes it as "lincRNA". The record is from RNAcentral. Lineage: Eukaryota; Metazoa; Chordata; Mammalia; Primates; Hominidae.
GCCCUUCCUCUGUGUCUUGAUUUCCUAUUCUGAGAGGCUAUUGCUUAGCGGUUUCCGUGGCAACAGUAAAGCGUGGGAAUUACAGAUAAAUUAAAACUGUGGAACACCUUUCCUCAGCUGCCGCCAAGGUGCUCGGUCCUUCCGAGGAAGCUAAGGCCGCGUUGGGGUGAGACCCUCACUUCAUCCGCUCUAAAACCAGCUCCAUCACUUGAAAUGGCAAAAUAAAUCAUGAAUUAGGCCGGGGGCUGUGGCUCACACCUGUAAUCCCAGCACUUUGGGGGGCCAAGGCAGGCAGAUCAUGAGGUCAGGAGAUCGAGACCAUCCUGGCUAACAUGGUGUAAGGGAGGAGACCACCCCUCAUAUUGUCUUAUGCCCAAUUUCUGCCUCCAAAGAAAGAAAAAGUAAAAACUAAAGGACAGAAAUGACAUCCACAAGCAGACACCCCGGGUGCCACACCCUGGGCCUGGUAGUUAAAAAUCAACCCCUGACCUGAUUGGUAUGUUAUCUAUAGAUUACAGACAUUGUAUAGAAAAGCACUGUGAAAAUCCCUUUCCUGUUUUGUUCUGAUCUAAUUACUGGUGCAUGCAGCCCCCAGUCACGUACCUCCGGCUUGCUCAAUUGAUCACGACCCUCUCACAUGCACCCCCUUAGAGUUGUAAGCCCUUAAAAGGGACAGGAAUUGCUCACUCAGGGAGCUCAGCUCUUGAGACCGGAGUCUUGCCGAUGCCCCCGGCCUAAUAAACCCCUUCCUUCUUUAACUCAGUGUCUGAGGAGUUUUUUCUGCAGCUCGAUUUCUUGGUUCCCUGACCAGGAAGCGAGGUGAAUGGCAGAUGGUCAAGGCAGCUCCUUAAGUGGCUUAAGCCUGCCCUGCAGGGGACUCCAACCAGCCCAAGCAACACGGAUCCUGAGGGCGCUCCCAGUUAGGCAUUUGCCCCAUUGGGACACCUCGCCAGAGCAGUGUGUGGCAGGCCCCCACGGAGGAUCAAUGCAGUGGCUGAACACCGGGAAGGAAUGGGCACUUGGAGUCUGGACAUCUAAAACUUGAUUCAUUCUUAUAGAAGAGCAUCAGAGGAAGAUAAAAAAGAAUCCUCAAUGUCAGGCCCCUGAGCCCAAGCUAAGCCAUCAUAACCCCGUGACCUGCACAUAUACAUCCAGAUGGCCUGAAGCAACUGAAGAACCAUAAAUGUGAAAUAGCCAGCUCCUGCCUUAACUGAUAACAUUCCACCAUUGUGAUUUGUUCCUGCUCCACCCUAACUGAUCAAUUGAUCUUGUGACAUUCCUUCUCCUGGACAAUGAGUCUCAGGAGCUCCUCACCAAGCACCUUGUUACCCCCACCCCUGCCCGCAAGAGAAAACCCACGUUAACUGUAAUUUUUCCACUACCUACCCAAAUCCUAUAAAACUGCCCCACCCCAUCUCCUUUUGCUGACUCCAGGUGAUUAAAAAACUUUAUUGCUCACACA